This 240-nucleotide ribosomal RNA is filed under the name Triticum aestivum (bread wheat). RNAcentral's name for it is "partial small subunit ribosomal RNA". Lineage: Eukaryota; Viridiplantae; Streptophyta; Magnoliopsida; Poales; Poaceae. The record is from RNAcentral.
CCAAAAGGAACAGGAGGCAUGGGGUUUAGAAAUCUCCAGUUAUUUAAUUUAGCCAUGUUGGGGAAACAAGGAUGGAGAUUGAUAACAAAACCAUAAUCAUUAUGUUCACGUGCCAUGGCCGGGAAAUACUAUCAUGGUACAGAUUUCCUAAGUGCCAAAAAGAAAAAAGGCAGCUCGCAUGUUUGGCAAUCAAUUUUGAAGGGUAGAAGAGUACUACAAUUGGGAUUAAUAAAAAAAUAG